RNAcentral lists this ribosomal RNA (750 nucleotides) under Pediococcus acidilactici. RNAcentral describes it as "bacterial SSU rRNA". It matches the Rfam family "Bacterial small subunit ribosomal RNA", at positions 34 to 741 of the family's 1533-position model. The record is from RNAcentral. Lineage: Bacteria; Bacillati; Bacillota; Bacilli; Lactobacillales; Lactobacillaceae.
UGCGUGCGGCUGCUAUACAUGCAGUCGAACGAACUUCCGUUAAUUGAUUAUGAGGUGCUUGCACUGAAUGAGAUUUUAACACGAAGUGAGUGGCGGACGGGUGAGUAACACGUGGGUAACCUGCCCAGAAGCAGGGGAUAACACCUGGAAACAGAUGCUAAUACCGUAUAACAGAGAAAACCGCCUGGUUUUCUUUUAAAAGAUGGCUCUGCUAUCACUUCUGGAUGGACCCGCGGCGCAUUAGCUAGUUGGUGAGGUAACGGCUCACCAAGGCGAUGAUGCGUAGCCGACCUGAGAGGGUAAUCGGCCACAUUGGGACUGAGACACGGCCCAGACUCCUACGGGAGGCAGCAGUAGGGAAUCUUCCACAAUGGACGCAAGUCUGAUGGAGCAACGCCGCGUGAGUGAAGAAGGGUUUCGGCUCGUAAAGCUCUGUUGUUAAAGAAGAACGUGGGUGAGAGUAACUGUUCACCCAGUGACGGUAUUUAACCAGAAAGCCACGGCUAACUACGUGCCAGCAGCCGCGGUAAUACGUAGGUGGCAAGCGUUAUCCGGAUUUAUUGGGCGUAAAGCGAGCGCAGGCGGUCUUUUAAGUCUAAUGUGAAAGCCUUCGGCUCAACCGAAGAAGUGCAUUGGAAACUGGGAGACUUGAGUGCACAACAGGACAAGGGAACUCCCUGUGGGAACGGUGAGGUGCUCACAUACAUGUGAAUAACACCCUUGGUGAAAGGCAGCAUGUCUGGGUCUACU